Portunus trituberculatus (swimming crab) is the source of this 469-nucleotide long non-coding RNA. RefSeq lists it as uncharacterized. The transcript is spliced from 3 exons. The record is from RefSeq and is a predicted model, not a curated record. Lineage: Eukaryota; Metazoa; Arthropoda; Malacostraca; Decapoda; Portunidae.
AGUUGUACAAAUUGUGGUGAGUGUAGGAGGCAAAUAUUGUUCUUUAUCAUCAAUCAUCAGCGCUACCACACCACUGAGAAAGAGUGAUAUGUCUGUAUUUAGUUAGCGGCGCCCUGGGACGUUAAGAGCAGCCGCCACAACACACAAGCAAGGGCAAGAGGAAGAGGGAGCGGGCUGAGGCGAAGCAAGCCGAGGAGGUCAACUCACUGCCCUCCCGGUGGUCCCUCCUCUGGUCAGGGAUUGAGACGGGCCCGUGAAGGAGCAAUGAUUAUUCUAACAAAGACGACAUCGGGACUCAUUCGCCACCUACUGGAGCGGUACAUAGCGACAACCACCAACAAGUAUAGCAAGACCCAGCAAGUCACGGAAUCAGACGGUACAUGGCAUUUUCACAUUGUGUGCGGCAUGGUAACGGCGGCUUAACACCACCAUGGGAGGUGGUGCAGCUUCUACAUACUCACAGACCAAC